AAACGUAGGAGGCGAGCGUUAUCCGGAUUUACUGGGUGUAAAGCGCGUGCAGGCGGCCGCGCAAGUCGUGCGUGAAAGCGCCCGGCUCAACCGGGCGAGGUCGUGCGAAACUGCGGGGCUUGAGGCAGGUAGAGGCGUGUGGAAUUCCGGGUGUAGUGGUGAAAUGCGUAGAGAUCCGGAGGAACACCAGUGGCGAAGGCGGCACGCUGGGCCUGGCCUGACGCUCAGACGCGAAAGCAUGGGGAGCGAACGGGAUUAGAAACCCCGGUAGUCCAUGCCGUAAACGCUGUGAACUAGGUGUAGCGGGUGUAACGACCGGCUGUGCCGAAGCAAACGUGAUAAGUUCACCACCUGGGGACUACGGCCGCAAGGUUAAA
Molecule: ribosomal RNA, 377 nt
Filed under: uncultured bacterium
Lineage: Bacteria
Description: bacterial SSU rRNA
Rfam family: Bacterial small subunit ribosomal RNA
Source: RNAcentral